GAUGAACGCUGGCGGCGUGCCUAAUACAUGCAAGUCGAACGAAACUUCUUUAUCACCGAGUGCUUGCACUCACCGAUAAAGAGUUGAGUGGCGAACGGGUGAGUAACACGUGAGCAACCUGCCCAAAAGAGGGGGAUAACACUUGGAAACAGGUGCUAAUACCGCAUAACCAUAGUUACCGCAUGGUAACUAUGUAAAAGGUGGCUAUACUACCGCUUUUGGAUGGGCCCGCGGCGCAUUAGCUAGUUGGUAGGGUAAAGGCUUACCAAGGCAAUGAUGCGUAGCCGAAUUGAGAGGUUGAUCGGCCACAGUGGGACUGAGACACGGCCCAAACUCCUACGGGAGGCAGCAGUAGGGAAUCUUCCACAAUGGGCGAAAGCCUGAUGGAGCAACGCCGCGUGGGUGAAGAAGGUCUUCGGAUCGUAAAACCCUGUUGUUAGAGAAGAAAGUGCGUGAGAGUAACUGUUCACGUUUCGACGGUAUCUAACCAGAAAGCCACUGCUAACUACGUG
Molecule: ribosomal RNA, 512 nt
Filed under: uncultured bacterium
Lineage: Bacteria
Description: partial 16S ribosomal RNA
Rfam family: Bacterial small subunit ribosomal RNA
Source: RNAcentral